GCCGGCCUACGGCGUUGGUGAUGGUGGUAACCGAUUUUUGAACCAACACCGAAUGAACGGGGACUCGACUCGAAAACGUAACGAUCCGGUGUGCAAGGUUCCGCCAGUCGGAAAUGCCUAAUGGGUCGCGGCGGGUUCCCACCGUCUACGACGGGUUCAUUCUCGGCCUACCACACGGCACAGUGGGUCGGCU
Molecule: non-coding RNA, 193 nt
Filed under: Terriglobales bacterium
Lineage: Bacteria; Pseudomonadati; Acidobacteriota; Terriglobia; Terriglobales
Description: Acidobacteriales bacterium (soil metagenome) 6S RNA
Rfam family: 6S / SsrS RNA
About the family: E. coli 6S RNA was the first non coding RNA to be sequenced, but its function was unknown until recently. It consists of 184 nucleotides that fold into an extended hairpin structure with a large single-stranded internal bulge.
Source: RNAcentral